This 544-nucleotide ribosomal RNA is filed under the name uncultured bacterium. RNAcentral's name for it is "bacterial SSU rRNA". It matches the Rfam family "Bacterial small subunit ribosomal RNA", at positions 777 to 1319 of the family's 1533-position model. The record is from RNAcentral.
AAUAGAUACCCUGGUAGUCCACGCCGUAAACGAUGAGUGCUAAGUGUUGGGGGGUUUCCGCCCCUCAGUGCUGCAGCUAACGCAUUAAGCACUCCGCCUGGGGAGUACGGUCGCAAGACUGAAACUCAAAGGAAUUGACGGGGGCCCGCACAAGCGGUGGAGCAUGUGGUUUAAUUCGAAGCAACGCGAAGAACCUUACCAGGUCUUGACAUCCCGGUGACCACUAUGGAGACAUAGUUUCCCCUUCGGGGGCAACGGUGACAGGUGGUGCAUGGUUGUCGUCAGCUCGUGUCGUGAGAUGUUGGGUUAAGUCCCGUAACGAGCGCAACCCUUAUUCUUAGUUGCCAUCAUUCAGUUGGGCACUCUAAGGAGACUGCCGGUGAUAAACCGGAGGAAGGUGGGGAUGACGUCAAAUCAUCAUGCCCCUUAUGACCUGGGCUACACAUGUGCUACAAUGGACGGUACAAACGGUUGCCAACCCGCGAGGGGGAGCCAAUCCGAUAAAACCGUUCUCAGUUCGGAUUGUAGGCUGCAACUCGCCUAC